GUUUGUUUUCCUCCUUGCAAAAUUCCUUGGAAUAACGCCCUUCGCCUUUUCCUCUUCGUCCUGCUUGCUGACUCAGGUCGAAGGCAUCUGACUUCAGGGCAGUUCUUUCAUGGGGUGUUUUGUGCUUUUCCAGAUGUGCAGGAGCUCUGGGACCAUAACUGGGAUGGAGAUGAGUGUGAUGAGUGGUGUGGUGCUCAACUCUGGUUCUGCCAGAAAGGGAGAGGGGAUGAGGCUUUGGUGUGGCACAGAGGACCCUCACAUUCCAUCCAGGCACAGCUGAUGACACCCCUCGGGAGCUGGGACAGCUGCCAGCUGGUGGUGGAUUCUGACUGGACUAAUCUUGGCACCAGUCUUCUCCUUUGGGAAAUGCCCCUGGGAACAGGCCAGAAGGAGUUGAUGACAUUGCUCUGCCCAGAGGCUGCUGAAGCAGGGGAAGUCUGUGAUUAGACUUCAACAGGCUUUGGAUCAAGUCUCUUCUGAGGAGACGGUGUCAACGUGCUGCUAUUUCCUGAAAAUCAGCCUGGCCUGGAGCAGGGAUCACAUCCAGGGGGCUCUAAUCAGUCCUGCUGGCCUCUUAGUGGGACCCAGCCCACGAGCUCUGUGAUUACAGGGGAUACCAAAGGCCCACGCAAGGCCUGGACAGUUCCUGCUGUUUAUGUUAAGCAUUGCUCAGAGUAUGAGCCUGGUGAAAGUAGCGCCAGUGGUGGAGGAGAGAAGAACCUGAGCCUCUCCACGUGGAAUGUUACUUCAUUUUCCAGCUGCUUCCUACUCAAGGAAAUAUUGUUUGCAGAUGGUGCAGUCACAAAACCAUCAUGUACCACUCUGUUAUUAUCCAGAUGGAUUUACUGCUGCUGGGGAACCUUUCUGCUGUCUCGUUUUGGGAGCAAGGUUCACGCAUGGAAUGGUUCUGCUCAGGAUCCAUCCAGUGCCAAGCAUGUAAAAACUCCACACCCAUAACCCUGACAGACUGGCUUGCUGCUGUUUCCUUUAAAUCCCAGCCUGAGCUUGGCAGGAUGGACAGAAAGCCUGGAGAUCUUGAGGCCUUUUGGGGUUAGAUAAGGAGAGACUCUGUUCCUGGCAGGAAAAGCAGAUGCCAUGGUGGAUAUCUGCCUUGGUGUGAGGUUGUACCCUCUGUCCCACCUCACCUCUCACAGGAGAUGGAAAAAUGCUCAGCAUCCCAGCAGGAGGGUGACUUCUGCAGGUGCCUCUGACUUCUUUGCUCACCCACUGGCAUGAGUUGUUUCAUGCACUUGCCAAAAAACUUGGAAGAAACUAUAAAGGAUGUAAUGCCACGAGGCAGACCAGAGCUCCCUGGAAAUCCUGGGAAAGGGCCUCUCCAUCCCGUAGUGUGAAUGAUGCCCACAUCUGGCUGUGACUUCCCUUGAAGAUGCCCAUUUUCAGCUCCUAUCAGUCUGCCCUGAAAGCUGGGCAGCUCCAAAACACCACCCUGAAACCAGCUGGGAAAAGCCUCACAGGGUCUGGUAACUCCUUUAUCUGAACACCUCACAGCGGCUGUGCACUGAGGCUGGGAGAAGGACACAGAUUUCUUCUCCUUAAGGCUGUGCAGAAGUUCAGAAGACCGAUGCAGAUCCUCUUGGAUCCCCUUGCCCUUUCCUCUGCAACUCUCUAGAAGAAACCCAGGGAUCUGGUGACACUGAGUGACCUUUCAGAGAAGGGCAAUAAUCCCUCUGGAACCCUGGGCCAGUCCAUUCCCUCGUUAGGGCAAUGAAGCUUUUACCUCUCCUGCAGCAAUGAUGCAUUUUUAAAGCGUCUCACACCUACUUUAAAUCCCUGUGGAGGCCAUGAAACUCCUUUGGCCGUGGCCACAUGGUAUCUAUUGUUAAGCAGACUGUUAAAAUUAAUCAACCCAGAUUAAGCAGCCAAAAUUAUCACUCUGCUGAAUCUCUUCCCUCAGAGACAGCCCCUUAAAGAGGCUGAGCGCUGAUUAAAAGUCCGAAAAAUCCUGGCAGGAGUUGCCUGUAGAAAGCAUGGAAAAAAUAAAAUGUGUGGGGUGUGAAAGGCUCUGUGUGCUGGUCUGCUUGAAUCCAAACUGUCCCUGGCUGCAAACCCCUUCAUCAGCAAACCCCCCCUCUGCCUGAGGAGAGCUUCUGUAUCCCAAAUUCCGCUGCUCUCUCCCCAGGGGUGUUAUCCUGUGAGCUCAUUAUUGCUGCUGGCUCUAAGUCACACCCCAAUACACAGAGCUAUCAGCAGCAGAGAUUAAAAAACAAAAUAAUUUGGUAAAUAGCCAUGAUUUGCCUCAGAGUUUAGGCUGGAGGUUUAAACUCCUCCUUUGAGGAUAUCCUGCUGCAUCCAGGGCAGGAGAAUGGGAAGGACACCCAAGCCCGUGUGCCUUCAGUGCACUUGUUGGA
Prinia subflava (tawny-flanked prinia) is the source of this 2369-nucleotide long non-coding RNA. RefSeq lists it as uncharacterized. The record is from RefSeq and is a predicted model, not a curated record. Lineage: Eukaryota; Metazoa; Chordata; Aves; Passeriformes; Cisticolidae. The transcript has 3 exons.